This 326-nucleotide ribosomal RNA is filed under the name uncultured Actinomycetes bacterium. RNAcentral describes it as "bacterial SSU rRNA". It matches the Rfam family "Bacterial small subunit ribosomal RNA", at positions 28 to 351 of the family's 1533-position model. Lineage: Bacteria; Bacillati; Actinomycetota; Actinomycetes. The record is from RNAcentral.
GAUGAACGCUGGCGGCGUGCUUAACACAUGCAAGUCGAACGAUUAAAGCUCUCUUCGGAGAGUGUAUAGAGUGGCGAACGGGUGAGUAACACGUGGGCAACCUGCCCCUCACACUGGGAUAACUCAGGGAAACUUGAGCUAAUACCGGAUACUUCCAUCGGGUCGCAUGGCCUGAUGGGGAAAGCUCCGGCGGUGAGGGAUGGGCCCGCGGCCCAUUAGCUUGUUGGUGAGGUAACGGCUCACCAAGGCUUCGAUGGGUAGCCGAGCUGAGAGGCUGAUCGGCCACACUGGGACUGAGACACGGCCCAGACACCUACGGGUGGCAG